Non-coding RNA from Oryza sativa Japonica Group (Japanese rice), 732 nucleotides. The record is from RefSeq and is a predicted model, not a curated record. Lineage: Eukaryota; Viridiplantae; Streptophyta; Magnoliopsida; Poales; Poaceae.
AGCUGGCCUUGAUUGAAUGUUAUGAGGAUAAACAAAACUGCUAAUCUAAGUGAAGAAAUGCUUGUUGAUAUUAUAGCAGAAAAUCUUGUGAAGUAUGGACCACCUGAUGUGACUGUAAAUGAUUUGAAGACUGCCCUGCAUAAGCAUAAAACACAAACAAGGGGGUGAAGAAAGUGGUUAAAAGACAUAAACGAAGUGCUGCCAAGGAAAAGCAAUCUACUCCAGCCAACCAAUCUACUUCAGUAGUUGCCACAUUGGAUGAGAUUAAGAAACUCAGAGAAGAAGUAUUGAAGGAAGCAAUUGAGGAGGGUUUACUUGUCUCGGGGUGAAUAAGAUCUUAUUGUAUUAAGUGAAGCUUUGAGACUAGUGGUUGUGAAUAACCAUAUUUCGUAAUAGUGAGCUUGAUCUUAAGUGACUACAAGACGAAGCUUUUGUUCGUCACUGGCCUUAGUCAAUGGCAGACGCAGAAAUUUUCCGAUGGGGGUACAAAGUUUAAAAAUAUACCGAGACAUAACUAAAUAUGAUACAACUAUUAGCAUAUAUAUUCAGUAGUAGUAUAUAGAUAGUAGAUUUCACAAAAGUAAUGUAUACUUAAUAAUUCAAGGCAAGAUUAAUUUCUUGCUUUUAUGCCAAAGUGCUCUUUUGGUUCAAGUAUAUGUAUCCAUAAUAUGCAUGCUAUACGAUGGGUUCUUUCUAAAAAAUUUUUGGGGGUAUAAGCGUACCCCUAUGUCC